GUUUUCUUAAAGUUUUAACCGUCAAAAUUAGUAUUGUAAGGUCACUUGUCUGAUAUAGAGAUUUGAAAUUUUACAGUAUCUACGGGCAUUGAAGGAGAAAGGGGUUGAGGUAAAAGCUAUUGUAUUUCCUAACGACAUUCAUGGAAUCGACAGACCACAAUCUGAUUUUGAAGGCUUUCUCAAUAUUGGAGUAUGGUUCAGGAAGUACUGUCAAUGAGUUGCUUUGUGGAGUGGGAGUAGAGCUCUAACCCUUGAAGUUGAUGAUCCUCAUCAUUCGUGGUGACAUGAAGAAGUCCACCUGCAGUUAAAUGUUUCAUCCUAAUCUUGGUGAAGCGCUGGUUCUCUGCUCCCAUCUCAAGUAUCUCGAUCAAUCAUACUUCAUACUUUGAACCUUCAGGUCUUGACUCUCAUCACAGAUCAACUUUAGGGUAAUAAAGGGGAUUCCCCGUGCGAUCGCCAAACAGCCAGCGAAGCAAGAGCCAUGGCCACAAAAUAAAAAAAAUAAAUCGUUGACUGAAACUCUCCUGGUUGACUGCUAAAUUGCCAGGAUAAUUAAAUUGGGAUGUAAACUUUCUAGCUUUUAUGAAUUGUAUUAAAUUGGUGUUUGAUAAUUAACUUGAAUUAAUGAGAACUUAUAUUUUUAA
Non-coding RNA from Carica papaya (papaya), 644 nucleotides. NCBI's taxonomy places the organism in Eukaryota, Viridiplantae, Streptophyta, Magnoliopsida, Brassicales, Caricaceae. The record is from RefSeq and is a predicted model, not a curated record.